CAAUAGCGUAUAUUAAAGUUGUUGCAGUUAAAAAGCUCGUAGUUGGAUUUCUGAUCGAGACAUCAGGUCGGGUCCGAGAGGAUCAUGUACUUUGAUUUUGUUUUGAUCAUCCUUGGGGAGAGCAUUUCUGGCAUUCAGUUGUCGGGAUUGGGAUCCUCAUCGUUUACUGUGAAAAAAUUAGAGUGUUCAAAGCAGGCCUCGGCCUCUGAAUACAUUAGCAUGGAAUAAUAAGAUAGGACUUUGGUGGUCUAUUUUGUUGGUUUGCACGCUAAAGUAAUGAUUAAUAGGGAUAGUUGGGGGUAUUCGUAUUCAAUUGUCAGAGGUGAAAUUCUUGGAUUUAUGGAAGACGAACUACUGCGAAAGCAUUUACCAAGGAUGUUUUCAUUAA
Molecule: ribosomal RNA, 388 nt
Filed under: uncultured eukaryote
Lineage: Eukaryota
Description: partial 18S ribosomal RNA
Rfam family: Eukaryotic small subunit ribosomal RNA
Source: RNAcentral